Molecule: ribosomal RNA, 2871 nt
Filed under: Triticum aestivum (bread wheat)
Lineage: Eukaryota; Viridiplantae; Streptophyta; Magnoliopsida; Poales; Poaceae
Description: partial small subunit ribosomal RNA
Source: RNAcentral
AUGCUGGAGGUCCUGGAGAUGACGCCGCCUCCGCCGCCGCCGCCGCAGCCGCGCCGCCACCAGCAGCCCAGGGGAGGAGGGAGGAAGCAGCCGCUGCAGAGCAGCGUCGCGCAGCCCAAGGCGGAGGCGCCACAGCCGCCGCCGCUCGAGGGAGGUAAGAGGUGCGCCGGGAAGCGGCGCGGCGGGCGCGGGCGCGCCAGGCCCGCGGAGGGGCCGCGGCCGGCGCCAGGGCCUGCGGCGGCGCCCGUGGAGGCGGCCACGCGCGCCGUCAUUGGGCCGCCCGUGCCCAGCAAGGGGCUGUCCUUCUGCCGCCGGCCCGGGUUCGGGACCGUGGGCGCGCGCUGCGUCGUCAAGGCCAACCACUUCCUCGCCGAGAUUCCCGACAAGGACCUCACCCAGUACGACGUCAAGAUCACGCCGGAGGUGACCUCCCGGUGCGUGAACCGGGCCAUCAUCGCCGAGCUGGUGCGCCUCUACCGGGAGUCCGACCUCGGAAUGCGCCUCCCGGCCUACGACGGCCGCAAGAGCCUCUACACCGCGGGCGCCCUCCCGUUCGACGCGCGCGAGUUCGUCGUGCGCCUCACCGACGAAGACAGCGGCACCGGCGUCCCCCCACGCGAGAGGGAGUACAGGGUCGCCAUCAAGUUCGCCGCGCGCGCCGACCUCCACCACCUCCGGCAGUUCAUCGCCGGCCGGCAGGCCGACGCGCCGCAGGAGGCCGUCCAGGUCCUCGACAUCGUCCUCCGGGAGCUCGCCAGCCAGAGGUACGUGGCGAUAGGGCGGUCGUUCUACUCGCCGGACAUAAGGAGGCCGCAGCGGCUCGGCGACGGCCUGCAGUCGUGGUGCGGGUUCUACCAGAGCCUCCGGCCGACACAGAUGGGGCUGUCGCUCAACAUCGACAUGUCGUCCACCGCGUUCAUCGAGGCGCUGCCGGUGAUCGACUUCGUGGCCCAGAUACUAGGGAAGGAUGUCAUGUCAAGGCCAUUGUCGGAUGCAAACAGAAUUAAGAUCAAGAAAGCGUUGCGGGGCGUCAAAGUCGAAGUUACUCACCGGGAAAAUGUAAGGCGGAAGUACCGCAUUUCGGGGGUGACAGCACAACCAACUCAUGAACUCAUCUUCCCAAUCGACGAUCAAAUGAAUAUGAAGUCUGUCGUAGAGUAUUUCAAGGAAAUGUAUGGGUUUACUAUUCAGCAAUCACAUCUUCCUUGCCUUAUGGUUGGCAACCAAAAGAAGGCAAACUAUCUACCAAUGGAGGCCUGCAAGAUUGUUGAGGGUCAGAGAUACACAAAGAGGUUGAACGAAAAGCAGAUCACAUCACUGCUAAAGGUUACAUGCCAAAGGCCUAGAGAAAAGGAAAUGGAUAUUCUACAGACAGUUCAUCAAAACGGAUAUGACCAAGAUCCUUACGCAAAGGAAUUUGGGAUCAACAUAAGUGAGAAGCUAACAUCCGUUGAAGCGCGCGUCCUUCCUGCACCUUGGCUGAAAUAUCAUGAUGCUGGAAAGGAAAAGGAGUGCCUGCCACAGGUUGGUCAAUGGAACAUGGUGAACAAGAAAGUGAUCAACGGGGGCAAGGUAAGCCACUGGGCUUGUAUAAACUUCUCGAGGAGUGUUCAAGAAACAACUGCACGCGGAUUCUGCCAAGAGUUGGCACAAAUGUGUCAAAUUUCGGGCAUGGAAUUCAACAGUGAACCUGUGCUUCCAAUAUAUUCAGCUAGACCAGAUCAAGUAGCGAAGGCACUAAAGCAUGUGUAUAAUGUAGCACUACACAAACUCAAGGGUAAAGAACUUGAGCUUCUUUUGGCCAUCCUACCAGACAAUAAUGGAGCUUUAUAUGGUGACAUCAAACGUAUCUGUGAAACCGAUUUGGGAUUAAUAUCUCAAUGUUGCUUAACGAAACAUGUUUUUAAGAUCAGCAAGCAGUAUUUGGCAAAUGUCUCGCUUAAAAUCAAUGUUAAGAUGGGAGGAAGGAACACCGUGCUCGUGGAUGCGCUAAGUUGGAGGAUUCCGUUGGUCAGUGACAUACCAACUAUUAUAUUUGGCGCAGAUGUAACUCAUCCUGAAACCGGGGAGGACUCUAGUCCAUCCAUUGCCGCAGUUGUGGCUUCUCAAGACUGGCCGGAAGUUACAAAAUAUGCUGGAUUGGUGUGUGCACAGGCACACCGACAAGAGCUCAUUCAGGACCUUUACAAGACAUGGCAUGACCCUCAGAGAGGCACAGUAACAGGAGGCAUGGUCAGGGAACUCUUAAUAUCCUUCAGGAAGGCCACGGGACAGAAACCACAGAGAAUAAUUUUCUAUCGGGAUGGCGUUAGUGAAGGCCAGUUCUACCAAGUUCUCCUUUAUGAGUUGGAUGCUAUCCGUAAGGCUUGUGCAUCCCUAGAACCAAAUUACCAACCUCCUGUAACGUUUGUGGUGGUUCAAAAGCGUCACCAUACAAGACUGUUUGCAAACAAUCACAAAGACAGAAGUAGUAUGGACAAAAGUGGAAAUAUUUUGCCUGGAACUGUUGUUGAUUCGAAGAUAUGCCACCCAACGGAGUUUGAUUUCUACCUCUGUAGUCACGCUGGAAUCCAGGGAACAAGUAGGCCAGCUCACUACCAUGUCCUCUGGGAUGAGAACAACUUCUCAGCAGACGAAAUGCAGACGUUGACAAACAACCUUUGCUACACUUACGCACGGUGCACGCGCUCUGUUUCCGUCGUCCCACCUGCAUAUUACGCGCAUCUGGCCGCGUUCCGGGCGCGGUUCUACAUGGAGCCGGAGCUGUCGGAGAACCACACGUCGAAGAGCUCCAGUGGCACGAAUGGUACCUCCGUGAAGCCUUUGCCCGCUGUGAAAGAGAAGGUGAAGAGGGUGAUGUUCUACUGUUGA